CAGCCGCCGCGGUAAUACGUAGGGUGCAAGCGUUAAUCGGAAUUACUGGGCGUAAAGCGUGCGCAGGCGGUUAUAUAAGUCAGAUGUGAAAUCCCCGGGCUCAACCUGGGAACUGCAUUUGAGACUGUAUGGCUAGAGUGUGUCAGAGGGGGGUAGAAUUCCACGUGUAGCAGUGAAAUGCGUAGAUAUGUGGAGGAACACCGAUGGCGAAGGCAGCCCCCUGGGCCAAUACUGACGCUCAUGCACGAAAGCGUGGGGAGCAAACAGGAUUAGAUACCCCGGUAGUCCCUGUCUCUUAUAC
RNAcentral lists this ribosomal RNA (301 nucleotides) under uncultured bacterium. RNAcentral's name for it is "partial 16S ribosomal RNA". It matches the Rfam family "Bacterial small subunit ribosomal RNA", at positions 509 to 807 of the family's 1533-position model. The record is from RNAcentral.